This 487-nucleotide ribosomal RNA is filed under the name uncultured bacterium. RNAcentral describes it as "bacterial SSU rRNA". It matches the Rfam family "Bacterial small subunit ribosomal RNA", at positions 28 to 506 of the family's 1533-position model. The record is from RNAcentral.
GACGAACGCUGGCGGCGUGCUUAACACAUGCAAGUCGAGCGGUAAGGCCCUUUCGGGGGUACACGAGCGGCGAACGGGUGAGUAACACGUGGGUGACCUGCCCUCAGCUCUGGGAUAAGCCUGGGAAACCGGGUCUAAUACUGGAUAUGACUCCAUGACGCAUGUUGUGGGGUGGAAAGCCUUGUGCGGCUGAGGAUGGGCCCGCGGCCUAUCAGCUUGUUGGUGGGGUGANGGCCUACCAAGGCGACGACGGGUAGCCGGCCUGAGAGGGCGACCGGCCACACUGGGACUGAGACACGGCCCAGACUCCUACGGGAGGCAGCAGUGGGGAAUAUUGGACAAUGGGCGCAAGCCUGAUCCAGCGAUGCCGCGUGUGUGAAGAAGGCCCUGCGGGGUUGUAAAGCACUUUCAGUAAGGGAAGAAAAGCCGAGUGCUAAUAUCACUCGGUCUUGACGUUACUUACAGAAGAAGCACCGGCUAACUCCGU